AGUGAACGCUGGCGGUAGGCCUAACACAUGCAAGUCGAACGGCAGCACAGUAAGAGCUUGCUCUUACGGGUGGCGAGUGGCGGACGGGUGAGGAAUAUAUCGGAAUCUACUUUUUCGUGGGGGAUCACGUAGGGAAACUUACGCUAAUACCGCAUACGACCUACGGGUGAAAGCAGGGGAUCUUCGGACCUUGCGCGAUUGAAUGAGCCGAUGUCGGAUUAGCUAGUUGGCGGGGUAAAGGCCCACCAAGGCGACGAUCCGUAGCUGGUCUGAGAGGAUGAUCAGCCACACUGGAGCUGAGACACGGUCCAGACUCCUGCGGGAGGCAGCAGUGGGGAAUAUUGGACAAUGGGGGCAAGCCUGAUACAGCCAUACCGCGUGGGUGAAGAAGGCGUUCGGGUUGUAAAGCCCUUUUGUUGGGAAAGAAAAGCAGCAGGUUAAUACCCCGCUGUUCUGACGGUACCCAAAGAAUAAGCACCGGCUAACUUCGUG
This 492-nucleotide ribosomal RNA is filed under the name uncultured bacterium. RNAcentral describes it as "partial 16S ribosomal RNA". It matches the Rfam family "Bacterial small subunit ribosomal RNA", at positions 29 to 507 of the family's 1533-position model. The record is from RNAcentral.